This 144-nucleotide small nuclear RNA is filed under the name Carlito syrichta (Philippine tarsier). RNAcentral describes it as "U1 spliceosomal RNA (ENSTSYG00000033344.1)". It matches the Rfam family "U1 spliceosomal RNA". From Rfam's summary of the family: U1 is a small nuclear RNA (snRNA) component of the spliceosome (involved in pre-mRNA splicing). Its 5' end forms complementary base pairs with the 5' splice junction, thus defining the 5' donor site of an intron. The record is from Rfam by way of RNAcentral. Lineage: Eukaryota; Metazoa; Chordata; Mammalia; Primates; Tarsiidae.
AUACUUACCUGGCAAGGGAAGUUUUUCCAAGGCAAGCCUUAUCCAUUACACUCCAGAUGUGCUGACCCCUAUGAUUUCUCCAAAUGUGGGAAACUCGACUGCACAAUUUGUGGUAGUGGAGGACUGUGUUUGUGCUCUCCUCUG